Molecule: long non-coding RNA, 517 nt
Filed under: Chinchilla lanigera (long-tailed chinchilla)
Lineage: Eukaryota; Metazoa; Chordata; Mammalia; Rodentia; Chinchillidae
Description: lncRNA (ENSCLAG00000028358.1)
Source: RNAcentral
UUUGAAGUCAUGAAUUGUGCAAAGUUUUUUUCUUCAUGGCUUUACUGAGGUACAAAUGAGGGACAGUAUUUGGCCUCGUAGGCCUCGCGCCCCUACCACCUUCUCCCAGGAGAGGCCACUGCCAGCCGUCGCAGGUCCUUUCCAACCGGUCCUUCGGGGGGACACAUCGAGGGGUCAGGGGGCCUUGCGCUUUGCCUCACUCCUUUCCAUCGGUAAAGACGGGGUACGGGGAAGCACCCCGUGGGGCGCCCGCUCCGCUCCGUCGGCCCCACCCGCCCCCUGGGCCUCUCGGCAGCCCUGGCCGGCGCCCUGCGGGCAGGAAGCUUGCGCAACCGCCCGAAAGAGGAAGCGCAGCGAAGGCUGAAGCAAACGUUUAGCUGGAGCGUUGCAAAAGACAGCAGCCUCUCGAGUCGCAGAGCUGCUCCCGGGCCCGGACCCCCGCUCCGAGACGCCGCCGAGGCCGCCGCGCGCGCAGAGAGCGGAGCGCGGGGAGAAGGCGCCCCGAGCGGGGCGGAGG